Molecule: long non-coding RNA, 249 nt
Filed under: Homo sapiens (human)
Lineage: Eukaryota; Metazoa; Chordata; Mammalia; Primates; Hominidae
Description: HSALNT0319545
Source: RNAcentral
AGUGUUCUUAAAUCCUAUAUGAAGGACAAACAUUCAGACCCCAGGAGCACUGUUCUGAAAUCCUAUGAUAAGGGCAAACAUUCAGACCCCAACAUGAAUGUUCUGGAAUCCUAUGUGAGGGACAAGCAUUGAGACCAUAGCAGGAGUAUUCUGGAAUCCUAUGUGAGGGACAAACAUUCAGACCCUCGUAGCAGUGUUCUGGAAUCCUAUGUGAGGGAGAAGCAUUCAGAGCACAGCAGGAGUGCUCUG